AAGGUUUUAAGUUAUAUAAACUAAUAGCCUUCAAAGCUAGAAAUAAAUUAAUAAAUUUAAACCUUA
RNAcentral lists this transfer RNA (66 nucleotides) under Pseudophyllus titan. RNAcentral's name for it is "tRNA-Trp". The record is from RNAcentral. Lineage: Eukaryota; Metazoa; Arthropoda; Insecta; Orthoptera; Tettigoniidae.